RNAcentral lists this transfer RNA (541 nucleotides) under uncultured Prochlorococcus sp. RNAcentral's name for it is "partial 16S-23S ribosomal RNA intergenic spacer". The stretch from base 212 to 284 matches the Rfam family "tRNA". Lineage: Bacteria; Bacillati; Cyanobacteriota; Cyanophyceae; Synechococcales; Prochlorococcaceae. The record is from RNAcentral.
CAGGGAGACAACAAAAUGUUUAAUAUUAUUAUUUUGUCACCUUAGGUCGAUCGGUAUCUCACGUUUUUAAUUUAUUAAGAAUUUCAUUUCCUAAGUUUUUCUAGGUCACACCCAUUAUUUUUCCUGGGCCAUUAGCUCAGGUGGUUAGAGCGCACCCCUGAUAAGGGUGAGGUCCCUGGUUCAAGUCCAGGAUGGCCCAUAUCUCUAUGUUGGGGGUAUAGCUCAGUUGGUAGAGCGCCUGCUUUGCAAGCAGGAUGUCAGCGGUUCGAGUCCGCUUACCUCCACUGAUCACCACCUCUUCCAUAAUUGGUAAAAAGGAAAUUUUUUGAGUUGUGAUCAAAUUCUGAAAGAAUCUAGCUUCCUAAUGAAUUCAUUAAGAUGCUGGACUCAUUGAAUUAAUUUCAUUGUUUUCAGAGAACCUUGACAACUGCAUAGAUUAUUUUUAAAGACAAUAAGCAUCUUUAAUGAUGCAGAUUUAUUAUUUGUGCAAAUGCAUUAAUAACAAUUCUAUUAAGCUGAUGCUUCAAUAUUUGAAGUUAUU